Non-coding RNA from Camponotus floridanus (Florida carpenter ant), 73 nucleotides. Lineage: Eukaryota; Metazoa; Arthropoda; Insecta; Hymenoptera; Formicidae. The record is from Rfam.
GUUUGGAUAGCUCAGUGGUCUAGAGCAGUUGCCCAAAAAGCGAAAGACUGGGGUUUGAUUCCCGAUCCAGCCA